This is a long non-coding RNA of Drosophila virilis, 638 nucleotides long. RefSeq lists it as uncharacterized. Lineage: Eukaryota; Metazoa; Arthropoda; Insecta; Diptera; Drosophilidae. The record is from RefSeq and is a predicted model, not a curated record.
GACGACGUCGCUGCUUGAUUGGACUUGGACGAACCUCAAAACGUGCCAUUUUCAAGCUGCCUCAGCUUGAUGUUUAUUUGCUGGAGAUCGACUGGAAACUGGACAGAUGCCGCUUAUGCAAAACUCAAAACUGGAUGUAGCUUAGAAUGCGUCUCUUGGGUAUGAUGGAGUGUGAAAUACCCUAUGUGUGCUUGACGCCUGAUAACUCAUAGUCACCUUCAUCCUUUAACAAGCAAGUUACAGGGUAAACGAAAUUGAAAAGAAAAAACCUUAAAACAAAUGACCAAAAUUUCAAUUCUUAAGCCAAAGAGCCAAGCAAAACUCUCCCUGGAGGACCUCCCCUACUGGCAGCAGCAAUCGCAAUCUCUGGAGCCCAUUUUGGAGCGAUGUAUAUGCAAAAUAUAUUUCACAUUUAUAAGAAGUUGUUAUAAAAACAAAAAAGACAACAAACCACAUCGCCAAUGACGAAAGCCACAAGAGAAAAAACAAAUAAAAAAAUAAAAACAAAACAGGGAAAAAUAAAAUAAAAUCAUCAUCAUUUAUGCAGAUUUCAAGGCAGAGAUAUGGCAACGACAGACAUAUAGCGUAUAUAUAAGUCUAUAUAAACCAAAACCAAGAUAUGCAUAAAUUUACAUAUG